RNAcentral lists this long non-coding RNA (646 nucleotides) under Androctonus crassicauda. Lineage: Eukaryota; Metazoa; Arthropoda; Arachnida; Scorpiones; Buthidae. The record is from RNAcentral.
GUUCUUUCACUCUGGUCUCUAACGUUCUUGUAGUCACUCCAACAUAAGCUGAUUCUUCCCCUGUGUUAUUAUCUGCUAUCGGUAUUUGAUAAACCCCUCUCCUUUCUCUUUGCUCAAACCUGUCUUUUCACCAUAUUUAGGUUUCCUAAGUGAUACGGGAUCGACAAAAAGUCCUUCUUACUAUUAUCAUUAGCCUUUCCCCUCCCAUUAUCCUUUUUAACUUGGUGCCAUAUUUUCAUUAAGAAAGGCCUAUCAUACUCAUGGUGCUCUCCCAUUUUAAGUAUAUAUUCUAAUUUGUUAUUCAGGUAAUACAGCCCUAGCUUGGGAGGCAUAUAGUAGAAACGUCACUGUGAAGUGGGAUGGAAUCGGAUGGAUUGGGCCGCUGGAGGGGGGUGUGCUGCCGACGAUGGUUGAAUCUGUUGAGGUUUUGGGGAGAGCAGGGAGAGAGGGGUUGGUUGGUGACGGGCUUGCUUGGGAGCCGUCUGGGGCUUGGAGGUGUCUGCUUGAUGGAGGUGUGGCUGAUUGAUGGGGAGGAGUGUGUGAUGGGGGUUGCUGGGAUUUGGUUCGGUGAAGAUUUGGAUCUAUGCUGGGAGGGUAGUUGUGCUUUGGUAGCAUUAUGGAGACUUUAGGUUGGGCAUGGUGUUGU